This 928-nucleotide long non-coding RNA is filed under the name Arabidopsis lyrata. Its description in RNAcentral is "long non-coding RNA (ALYR_LNC000799)". Lineage: Eukaryota; Viridiplantae; Streptophyta; Magnoliopsida; Brassicales; Brassicaceae. The record is from RNAcentral.
GAGCUUAACUGUUUUGGUGAUAUCUUCACCACAACAAGGACAGUAUAUGUAAUACUUAUGUUGGUUCUUGAUCACAGUCUCCACAUCAUCAUCCAGUGAAUCAGGUUCUGUCUGUAAAUCUUUUGCUUUAGCUACAUCUUCAGUUUCAGAGUAUUGGUUCUUGUCUAUGGAUCUUGAACCAUUCUCAGUGUCAAUAGUUUCAUUUGACUCCGAUCCUAUGGGUGGGUAAAAAUUUCGAUUUUGAGCAUUCGAAAAAAAAAUGGGAAUAGUACUACUUCAUAUACUUUUUUUUUCUUUUGUAAGUAUCAAAUUGAAUAAGAUCAUAUAUUUUAUGAACUACAUAUAAGUAACUAAUCAGAAGUACAUAUAAUUUUCAGACCUUGUUCGUGGCUGAAGUCAACGCCAUCGUCCUUCUCGCUGCGGAGUGGCGAGUCCGGAGGCAGGUUGGUCAAUUCAUCGGUACAGACACUGUUGCCGGCGGAGCUUUGAGUUGGAGUUGGAUUCGUGGUAGGUUCCAUCGGAGACAAACAAAGUUGAGAUGCAGAACCAUGUUAUCACAAUUUAUGGUUACUACUUUAUCUGAAUAUUUUAAUUUCACGAGUUCCACGUUCUAUAAUAUAAUCCCAACUAACUUGACUUUGUUUUUUUAAAUGAAAGAAGUGAAGACAAACUGAUAAAUCUUGAUUAAAAAUCGAACUUUUUUGCUUACCUAUAAACAAAACAAGUUCGUGUACAAAAGGAGAACUCUGUUAAAUGAAUAUAAAGAAAGUAAACAGCUAAAGAACAACUCUUUUGGUAGCUUUGGUGUUUAUCUGAAACAAACUUGUAGAAUCUUGAAAUCAACCUUUUCGGUAUUCAGAGGCAAGCUCAUGAAAGCCUAACUUUUCAAAGAUAUCACUAGCGAUUUGGCUGGCGAUGAAAGAAAGAG